UAGAGUUUGAUCCUGGCUCAGGAUGAACGCUAGCUACAGGCUUAACACAUGCAAGUCGAGGGGCAGCAUGAAAGGAACUUCGGUUCUUUUUGAUGGCGACCGGCGCACGGGUGCGUAACGCGUAUCGAACCUGCCUCAUACUCGGGGAUAGCCUUGCGAAAGUAAGAUUAAUACCCGGCGGUCUCGGAUGGCCGCAUGGCUAUCCGAGUGAAGAUUUAUCGGUAUGAGAUGGCGAUGCGUCCCAUUAGCUUGUUGGUGAGGUAAUGGCUCACCAAGGCAUCGAUGGGUAGGGGUUCUGAGAGGAAGGUCCCCCACAUUGGAACUGAGACACGGUCCAAACUCCUACGGGAGGCAGCAGUGAGGAAUAUUGGUCAAUGGACGAAAGUCUGAACCAGCCAAGUAGCGUGCAGGAAGACGGCCCUCUGGGUUGUAAACUGCUUUUAGUUGGGAAUAAAAAGAGGGACGUGUCCCUUAUUGUAUGUACCAUCAGAAAAAGGACCGGCUAAUUCCGUGCCAGCAGCCGCGGUAAUACGGAAGGUCCAGGCGUUAUCCGGAUUUAUUGGGUUUAAAGGGAGCGCAGGCGGCGGCGUAAGUCAGUUGUGAAAUCGUGCGGCUUAACCGUGCAAUUGCAGUUGAUACUGCGUCGCUUGAGUGCACACAGGGAUGUUGGAAUUCAUGGUGUAGCGGUGAAAUGCUUAGAUAUCAUGAAGAACUCCGAUCGCGAAGGCAUAUGUCCGGAGUGCAACUGACGCUGAGGCUCGAAAGUGUGGGUAUCAAACAGGAUUAGAUACCCUGGUAGUCCACACAGUAAACGAUGAAUACUCGCGGUUGGUUCGUUAGAAUCAGCCGCCAAGCGAAAGCGUUAAGUAUUCCACCUGGGGAGUACGCCGGCAACGGUGAAACUCAAAGGAA
This 912-nucleotide ribosomal RNA is filed under the name uncultured bacterium. RNAcentral describes it as "bacterial SSU rRNA". It matches the Rfam family "Bacterial small subunit ribosomal RNA", at positions 1 to 909 of the family's 1533-position model. The record is from RNAcentral.